AGCCCAUCAGCAGGCAAAAAAUGAAGGGGCAGAGAUGGUGUGUCUUCAGAAGAGAAGGGUGAUGAUUCACACAAAUGCUGCCCACCGAAUGCCUUUGUAACACUGCUUUCCAAGAGACAAAGCCACGUGACUGGCAGAGCAGGAGGUGUCCCAGACCCGAGUUCCUCUCGAGAGCAGGGCUGAGUUCUGGAAUGAUCUUCAAAUGUCAAAGGUCAUGGCCUGAGUUUCAGAAUUCCUAACAAAAGUGGCAACAGCAAAAGAAGUGAUUGGCAGUGUCUGCAUGUGAAGAUUCAUGGAUUCCUCAAAAGCUGAUCAUCUGUGUUUUCUCUACAUGGCUAAGAAGGAUUUUUAAAACAAGGACUAAAUAAAGAUGCCACCUACCAUAA
This is a long non-coding RNA of Pseudopipra pipra, 386 nucleotides long. RefSeq lists it as uncharacterized. Lineage: Eukaryota; Metazoa; Chordata; Aves; Passeriformes; Pipridae. The transcript has 4 exons. The record is from RefSeq and is a predicted model, not a curated record.